CACGUAGGGCGCGAGCGUUGUCCGGAUUUACUGGGCGUAAAGGGCGCGUAGGCGGCGUAACAAGUCACUUGUGAAAUCUCCGGGCUUAACCCGGAGCGGCCAAGUGAUACUGUUGUGCUAGAGUGCGGAAGGGGCUACUGGAAUUCUCGGUGUAGAGGUGAAAUUCGUAGAUAUCGGGAGGAACACCGGUGGCGAAGGCGGCGAUCUGGGUCGAUACUGACGCUGAGGCGCGAAAGCGUGGGGAGCAAACAGG
Molecule: ribosomal RNA, 253 nt
Filed under: uncultured bacterium
Lineage: Bacteria
Description: partial 16S ribosomal RNA
Rfam family: Bacterial small subunit ribosomal RNA
Source: RNAcentral